This 293-nucleotide ribosomal RNA is filed under the name uncultured beta proteobacterium. Its description in RNAcentral is "partial 16S ribosomal RNA". It matches the Rfam family "Bacterial small subunit ribosomal RNA", at positions 1102 to 1397 of the family's 1533-position model. Lineage: Bacteria; Pseudomonadati; Pseudomonadota; Betaproteobacteria. The record is from RNAcentral.
CCCUUGUCAUUAGUUGCUACAUUUAGUUGGGCACUCUAAUGAGACUGCCGGUGACAAACCGGAGGAAGGUGGGGAUGACGUCAAGUCCUCAUGGCCCUUAUAGGUGGGGCUACACACGUCAUACAAUGGCUGGUACAAAGGGUUGCCAACCCGCGAGGGGGAGCCAAUCCCAUAAAACCAGUCGUAGUCCGGAUCGCAGUCUGCAACUCGACUGCGUGAAGUCGGAAUCGCUAGUAAUCGUGGAUCAGAAUGUCACGGUGAAUACGUUCCCGGGUCUUGUACACACCGCCCGU